RNAcentral lists this ribosomal RNA (484 nucleotides) under uncultured bacterium. RNAcentral describes it as "bacterial SSU rRNA". It matches the Rfam family "Bacterial small subunit ribosomal RNA", at positions 30 to 509 of the family's 1533-position model. The record is from RNAcentral.
AUUGAACGCUGGCGGCAUGCCUUACACAUGCAAGUCGAACGGUAACAGGGAGCUUGCUCCGCUGACGAGUGGCGAACGGGUGAGUAAUGUAUCGGAACGUACCAUUCAGUGGGGGAUAACGUAGCGAAAGUUACGCUAAUACCGCAUAUUCUGUGAGCAGGAAAGCAGGGGAUCGCAAGACCUUGCGCUGAUUGAGCGGCCGAUAUCAGAUUAGCUAGUUGGUGAGGUAAAGGCUCACCAAAGGCGACGAUCUGUAGCGGGUCUGAGAGGAUGAUCCGCCACACUGGAACUGAGACACGGUCCAGACUCCUACGGGAGGCAGCAGUGGGGAAUUUUGGACAAUGGGGGCAACCCUGAUCCAGCCAUGCCGCGUGAGUGAAGAAGGCCUCGGUUGUAAGCUCUUCGCCGGGAAAAGUACGACAUCAGUUAAUACCUGGUGUGGAGUGAUGGUACCGGAAUAAGAAGACACGGCUAACUACGUGCC